CCUACGGGUGGCAGCAGUGAGGAAUAUUGGUCAAUGGACGAGAGUCUGAACCAGCCAAGUAGCGUGAAGGAUGACUGCCCUCUGGGUUGUAAACUUCUUUUAUAUGGGAAUAAAAUGUUCCACGUGUGGGAUUUUGUAUGUACCAUAUGAAUAAGGAUCGGCUAACUCCGUGCCAGCAGCCGCGGUAAUACGAAGGAUCCGAGCGUUAUCCGGAUUUAUUGGGUUUAAAGGGAGCGUAGGUGGAUUGUUAAGUCAGUUGUGAAAGUUUGGGGCUCAACCGUAAAAUCGCAGUUGAAACUGGCAGUCUUGAGUACAGUAGAGGUGAGCGGAAUUCGUGGUGUAGCGGUGAAAUGCUUAGAUAUCACGAAGAACUCCGAUUGCGAAGGCAGUUCACUGGACUGCAACUGACACUGAGGCUCGAAAGUGUGGGUAUCAAACAGGAUUAGAUACCCGGGUAGUC
Molecule: ribosomal RNA, 460 nt
Filed under: uncultured bacterium
Lineage: Bacteria
Description: partial 16S ribosomal RNA
Rfam family: Bacterial small subunit ribosomal RNA
Source: RNAcentral